CUCCUUCCCAUUACCCCAUAUUCCAGUGAGGGUACCGAACACUCACAGAGGCACCUGAACACCCUACGCAAGGUCACAGAUGGGGUAAAAUCCCAGGUCUGGCACAGGAUAGUAGGAGCCCCUGAUCCCUGUGGUCCUGAUUUUGCCGUCAUUGCGCAAAGCACACGGGAUGGGGUGAGGCGGCCGUGGGUGCUCAGCCACUGUGGGGUAGCUCUGUGUCUAUGCUUGCCCUUUUCCUCCACAGAAUCAGAACCGAGACCCCCGGGAAUGGAAGGCUCAUUUCUUGGAGGCUGUGGAUGAUGCUUUCAAGACAAUGGAUGUGGAUAUGGCCGAGGAACAUGCCAGGGCCCAGAUGAGGGCCCAGAUGAAUAUCGGGGACGAAGCUCUGAUUGGACGGUGGAGCUGGGAUGACAUACAAGUCGAGCUCCUGACCUGGGAUGAGGACGGAGAUUUUGGCGACGCCUGGGCCAGGAUCCCUUUGCUUUCUGGGCCAGAUACCAUCAGUACAUUCUGAAUAGCAACCGUGCCAACAGGAGGGCCACGUGGAGAGCUGGUGUCAGCAGUGGCACCAAUGGAGGGGCCAGCACCAGCGUCCUAGAUGGCCCUAGCACCAGCUCCACCAUCCGGACCAGAAAUGCCGCCAGAGCUGGCGCCAGCUUCUUCUCCUGGAUCCAGCACCGUUGACGAACUGCAGCGAUCUUACUGGCCAAGCCAGAGUGCCUCCUCUCAGAUUCCUUCUCGACACAGCACCCUAGGCAGCUUCUUCCUGUCAGUCAGAAGUGGCAUGCAAGAUGAAGCUCUCUUUGCUCUUCCUGCUUUCAUUUUGUGCUUUCCUUGCGCUUUCAUGUUUUGGGUAUCAGUGUUACAUUAAAGUUGCAAAAUUAAUUUGGACGUUUCUUCCUUUACCUGCACACCCGGUGCUAUACCUGGCCGUGCUUGGGCUUGUAGCAAGGAAACUUCUUCAGGCUCUCUGGGAUAGGUGGGCCCCACCUCUGCCAAAAAGACCCACAGGGACAGGUGGGAUGCUGGGAGGUGCAGAGGUUGGUUACACUUGAGUGUGCGACCAGGGAGUUUGGAGAGGCCCCAGUGCUCACGGUUAUGUGAUUUUCUAGAAGCCUUCCUUGCUCAGCAGCCCCAGGGACAUGGCAAGGGGGGCGGCCAGAGCAGGGGUUGGGUGGAAGACUGCAGCUUGGUGCCACUGCCCCUCCCGCCGAGGGACAGGGUCCAAGGCUCUCACCAGGAUCCACCUCCCACACCCCCUCCUUGGAGACGAUGUUCUGGAACCCUUGG
Molecule: long non-coding RNA, 1290 nt
Filed under: Macaca mulatta (Rhesus monkey)
Lineage: Eukaryota; Metazoa; Chordata; Mammalia; Primates; Cercopithecidae
Description: lncRNA (ENSMMUG00000062018.1)
Source: RNAcentral